Molecule: ribosomal RNA, 627 nt
Filed under: Triticum aestivum (bread wheat)
Lineage: Eukaryota; Viridiplantae; Streptophyta; Magnoliopsida; Poales; Poaceae
Description: partial small subunit ribosomal RNA
Source: RNAcentral
AUGUCCCAUUUCCCCAUCCCCUACCUAGGGUUUCCACUCUCUGUGUGCAAGGUCCCAUCGUCUACCCUGCAGACCUUGGUGGACCAUCUGGUGAAGAAAUUAUCCACUUGGUGCGCUUCCAUACUCUUGAAGUGUGAGCGUCUAGCUCUUGUCCGGCAUGUGCUUUCCGCCAUGCCGACCCAUCUCCUCAUGGCUAUGGUGAUCUGCCAGCCAGUCCUUAAGUGCAUCAGUCGCAUCAUCCGAGACUUCCUCUGGCACGGUCGCCGCGACACCAACGACGGCCACUGUCUUGUUAAUUGGCAACACGUGUGCGAGCCCUUCGAGUACAGCGGUCUGGGCAUCUUGCACCUGUGCCGUUUUGGCAUCGCAUUGCAAACGGGGUGGCUAUGGCUACAACGCAUAGAGUCGUCUCGCCCCUAGAUACACCUACAACUGCCUAAUGACCCUGAUGCUCGCGCCAUCUUCCGAGCGUCCACAUCUUGGUGCGUCGGGGACGGCUAGUCUUGACGUUUUUGGGAGGAUCACUGGCUGGGUGGCCAAUCCAUAGUGGACCUCGCGCCAACCAUUGCCUCCUUGGUUCCCCGCAGACGAUGCUGGACAUGCACUUUGGCCGAGGGGUUGGACUAG